RNAcentral lists this ribosomal RNA (533 nucleotides) under Escherichia coli. Its description in RNAcentral is "partial 23S ribosomal RNA". It matches the Rfam family "Bacterial large subunit ribosomal RNA", at positions 1 to 564 of the family's 2925-position model. The record is from RNAcentral. RNAcentral also lists the same sequence under 1 other name. Lineage: Bacteria; Pseudomonadati; Pseudomonadota; Gammaproteobacteria; Enterobacterales; Enterobacteriaceae.
GGGUUGUGAGGUUAAGCGACUAAGCGUACACGGUGGAUGCCCUGGCAGUCAGAGGCGAUGAAGGACGUGCUAAUCUGCGAUAAGCGUCGGUGAGGUGAUAUGAACCGUUAUAACCGGCGAUUUCCGAAUGGGGAAACCCAGUGUGUUUCGACACACUAUCAUUAACUGAAUCCAUAGGUUAAUGAGGCGAACCGGGGGAACUGAAACAUCUAAGUACCCCGAGGAAAAGAAAUCAACCGAGAUUCCCCCAGUAGCGGCGAGCGAACGGGGAGGAGCCCAGAGCCUGAAUCAGUGUGUGUGUUAGUGGAAGCGUCUGGAAAGGCGCGCGAUACAGGGUGACAGCCCCGUACACAAAAAUGCACAUAUUGUGAGCUCGAUGAGUAGGGCGGGACACGUGGUAUCCUGUCUGAAUAUGGGGGGACCAUCCUCCAAGGCUAAAUACUCCUGACUGACCGAUAGUGAACCAGUACCGUGAGGGAAAGGCGAAAAGAACCCCGGCGAGGGGAGUGAAAAAGAACCUGAAACCGUGUACG